GUGGGGAAUCUUAGACAAUGGGCGCAAGCCUGAUCUAGCCAUGCCGCGUGAGCGAUGAAGGCCUUAGGGUUGUAAAGCUCUUUCAGGGGGGAAGAUAAUGACGGUACCCCCAGAAGAAGCCCCGGCUAACUCCGUGCCAGCAGCCGCGGUAAUACGGAGGGGGCUAGCGUUGUUCGGACUUACUGGGCGUAAAGCGCACGUAGGCGGACCAGAAAGUCAGGGGUGAAAUCCCGGGGCUCAACCCCGGAACUGCCUUUGAAACUCCUGGUCUUGAGGUCGAGAGAGGUGAGUGGAAUUCCGAGUGUAGAGGUGAAAUUCGUAGAUAUUCGGAGGAACACCAGUGGCGAAGGCGGCUCACUGGCUCGAUACUGACGCUGAGGUGCGAAAGCGUGGGGAGCAAACAGGAUUAGAAACCCUGGUAGUCC
Molecule: ribosomal RNA, 425 nt
Filed under: uncultured bacterium
Lineage: Bacteria
Description: partial 16S ribosomal RNA
Rfam family: Bacterial small subunit ribosomal RNA
Source: RNAcentral